Cimex lectularius (bed bug) is the source of this 621-nucleotide long non-coding RNA. RefSeq lists it as uncharacterized. Lineage: Eukaryota; Metazoa; Arthropoda; Insecta; Hemiptera; Cimicidae. The record is from RefSeq and is a predicted model, not a curated record. The transcript has 3 exons.
AUAUCACAAUAAUAAAUGCAUACUUUGGAAAACCGCUGUUCAACAUAUGCUUAAUAAACGAAGAGAGUAUAUCAAAAUUAUAUGAAAUAGUUGUCCAUUUAAUCAUGAAAUUACGCAAUUUUAGGGUUAACUGGAUGAAGAAGCGUUACAUGCCAUAAUCCUCAUCUAGCUAUCUUCAGGUCUGGGUCUGUCGGACGGUAAAGAGCCUUGAUUUACAGGAUCAAUGUGUUCAGCAUAUGGAAUUUAGCACAACAAUUAAGAAGUGAACAAUUUAGAAGCAUGAAAAACAAUUGUCCCACUGGACAUUACGCUUAGCAAUUACAUAAAUGCUACAUUUACGUUGCCUGUGAUAUUAUCAAGCCAACAACGUUUAUCCUACAAGAGGACAAUCAGUAAAUAGAAACUAACCUAUUAAACAAUUUUGAUCUAAAAUAAUUGCGUAUAUAGAAUUACCGUUAGUUUAUCUGCCAGCCAGUUAUAAAUUAAAAGUUUAUAAACUUUGUGAAUGUGAAACAACGAAUCAGCAAUACUUAAUAACCAAACGUACCACGCGAAAAUUGCAAGGAGAAGAACAUUAACUGUAAUAUAAAAAGGCAUAUAAAAGUUUAACCUCCCUAAGUU